AGUGAACGCUGGCGGCGUGCCUAAUACAUGCAAGUCGAACGAUGAAGCUUCUAGCUUGCUAGAAGUGGAUUAGUGGCGCACGGGUGAGUAAUGCAUAGAUAACAUACCCUUUAGUCUAGGAUAGCCACUGGAAACGGUGAUUAAUACUGGAUACUCCUACGGGGGAAAGUUUUUCGCUAAAGGAUUGGUCUAUGUCCUAUCAGCUUGUUGGUGAGGUAAUGGCUCACCAAGGCUAUGACGGGUA
Molecule: ribosomal RNA, 244 nt
Filed under: Helicobacter pullorum
Lineage: Bacteria; Pseudomonadati; Campylobacterota; Epsilonproteobacteria; Campylobacterales; Helicobacteraceae
Description: partial 16S ribosomal RNA
Rfam family: Bacterial small subunit ribosomal RNA
Source: RNAcentral